Molecule: non-coding RNA, 1261 nt
Organism: Callithrix jacchus (white-tufted-ear marmoset)
Lineage: Eukaryota; Metazoa; Chordata; Mammalia; Primates; Cebidae
Source: RefSeq, a predicted model, not a curated record
CCGUGCCGCAGCCCCCGCCGCCGCCACCGAGCCCGGCGCCACCGCCUCGGAGCAGAAGAUGGCUGUGCCACCCACGUAUGCCCAUCUCGGCAAAUCUGCCAGGGAUGUCUUCACCAGGGGCUAUGGAUUUGGCUUAAUGAAGCUUGAUUUGAAAACAAAAUCUGAGAAUGGAUCGGAAUUUAUAAGCUCAGGCUCAUCCAACACUGAGACCACCAAAGUGACAGGUAGCCUGGAAACCAAGUACAGAUGGACUGAGUACGGCCUGACGUUUACAGAGAAAUGGAACAUCGACAAUACACCAGGCACCAGGCACCAGGCACCGAGAUUACCUUGGAAGAUUAGCUUGCACGUGGACUGAAGCCUGACUUUCCAUUCAUCCUUCUCACCUAAUACUGGGGGGAAAAAAUGCUAAAAUCAAGACAGGGUACAAGCAGGAGCACAUUAACCUGGGCUGUGACAUGGAUUUCGACAUUGCUGGGCUUUCCAUCUGGGGUGCUCUGGUGCUGGGUUAUGAGGGCUGCCUGGCUGGCUACCAGAUGAAUUUUGAGACUGCAAAGUCUGGAGUGACCCAGAGCAACUUUGCGGUUGGCUACAAGACUGAUGAAUUCCAGCUUCAUACUAAUGUGAAUGACGGGACAGAGUUUGGCGACUCCAUUUACCAGAAGGUGAGCAAGAAGUUGGAGACCACUGUCAGUCUCACCUGGACAGCAGGAAUCAGUAACAGGUGCUUCGGAAUAGCAAGCAAGUAUCAGAUUGACCCUGACGCCUGCCUCUCGGCUAAAGUGAACAACUCCAGCCUGACAGGUUUAGGAUACACUCAGACUCUAAAGCCAGGUAUCAAACUGACACUGUCAGCUCUUCUGGAUGGCAAGAACGUCAAUGCUGGUGGCCACAAGCUUGGUCCAGGACUGGAAUUUCAAGCAUAAAUGAAUACUGUGCAAUUGUUUAAUUUUAAACUAUUUUGCAGCAUAGCUACCUUCAGAAUUUAGUGUAUCUUUUAAUGUUGUAUGUCUGGGAUGCAAGUAUCGCUAAAUAUGUUAGACCUCCAGGUUAAAGAUGAUUCAGCUUUAAGAUGUUACCCUUUCGGAGGUACAGAAGAAACCCAUUUCCGAAAAAGUCCUUUCAGUGGUAGACUUGGGGGGAACUUGGGAGCCCCUUUGAGAUGCCAGGUUUCUUUUUUAUCUAGAAAUGGCUGCAAGUGGAAGCUGAUAAUAUGUAGGCACUUUGUAAAUUCAUAUUGAGUAAAUGAAUGAAAUUGUGA